RNAcentral lists this long non-coding RNA (1073 nucleotides) under Junco hyemalis (dark-eyed junco). RNAcentral describes it as "lncRNA (ENSJHYG00000006562.1)". The record is from RNAcentral. Lineage: Eukaryota; Metazoa; Chordata; Aves; Passeriformes; Passerellidae.
UUUACAAAUAGGCUUUCAGUCACGCAACACAUCUACAACAAAGCACAGCUCCCAGCAAACUUAGUAUUGAGUAUUUGAGUAUUUUUAAAGGAAAGGCAGAACUCAUACCACAGUAGGAGAAUUAUUUAUAUUAUUUAUAAAUUUAUAUUAUUUAAUUAUUAUUUACAGUGAACAAAAAUGUAAUGCCUCAAAACAUCUAAAUGAGAACAUAUUAUUCAUCACAAUGCUUUCAUGAUUACAAUUAGCACAAACACAUUUGUGAUGCUUCCAAACAUCAGUGGGAAUGUUGAUAUGUUUACAUCUGUGUAACAGAGAUUUGUCUAUUUUCCAUGGAGCAAACUAUUAUUUUUCAAACAGUGUAGGAAUAGGAAAGCAGACAUCACAAAGAAUGGUUGAUCGACUGUCUGGUUUAGAGCAAUCACUAUUUUCAUGCUUUUGGAGAGAAUUAUAUAUAAUCCACAUUAGCGUGAGAUUUUAACAUUUAAUGUGAGAUUCCACCGUGUUACAGAUGCUACAAAACUGUUCUGUGCAUGUCCUGGACACACAUAUUUCAGUACAGGGUGUAUUAGUGCACUGGAUGAGGUGUGGUUCAGAGGGUGGUUACGGCAGAGGUUACUUCUCCCAUUUGAAUUCCUCAGGCACAGGGGUACCCAUGGUGCCCUACAGCACCGUGUCUGGUUUCUCAGGUGAGAGCGAUGGGGACGCCGCGCUCCGCUGAGUGCUGCCAAGCGUCCCCCCCGCCAAUGCAGCUGGAGGGCGGGCACAAAACUCGCAUCUCCGGAGGUUUCCGCAGCGUCUCGCUGCCCUUCCCGGGCUCGCUCGGGUUGGCUGAGGGCUCCGCACGCUGAGGAAGGGACGGGCGGCUGAGCUGCUCUUUGGGCUGAAAGCCGUGGGCAGCUGUGCCCGGGCGCUGCUGAUCCCAGGCUGAGCCCCUGCCGAUGGAUGACUCACUGCUUGCGGACAUCUGCUCCGGGAGCCGCUGCGCUCCCGCCCGUGUCCUGGAGCUGGAUUUCCAUACUGACGUUUUUCAGCUCUAGACAGGGUUGUAUUUAGAAACAAUUUUCUGCUGCGAA